GACGAACGCUGGCGGCGUGCUUAACACAUGCAAGUCGAACGGAAAGGCCCUGCUUUUGUGGGGUGCUCGAGUGGCGAACGUGUGAGAAACACGUGUGUAACCUGCCCUUGACUUUGGGAUAACUUCAGGAGACUGGGGAUAAUACCGGAUAGGAGCUCCUGCUGCAUGGUGGGGGUUGGAAAGUUUCGGCGGUUGGGGAUGGACUCGCGGCUUAUCAGCUUGUGGGUGGGGUAGUGGCUUACCAAGGCUUUGACGGGUAGCCGGCCUGAGAGGGUGACCGGCCACAUUGCGACUGAGAUACGGCCCAGACUCCUAAGGGAGGCAGCAGUGGGGAAUAUUGCACAAUGGGCGGAAGCCUGAUGCAGCAACGCCGCGUGCGGGAUGACGGCCUGCGGGUUGUAAACCGCUUUCGCCUGUGACGAAGCGUGAGUGACGGUAAUGGAUAAAGAAGCACCGGCUAACUACGUG
Molecule: ribosomal RNA, 468 nt
Filed under: uncultured bacterium
Lineage: Bacteria
Description: partial 16S ribosomal RNA
Rfam family: Bacterial small subunit ribosomal RNA
Source: RNAcentral